Molecule: ribosomal RNA, 560 nt
Filed under: Diadema setosum
Lineage: Eukaryota; Metazoa; Echinodermata; Echinoidea; Diadematoida; Diadematidae
Description: partial 16S ribosomal RNA
Rfam family: Bacterial large subunit ribosomal RNA
Source: RNAcentral
UCCUGCCUGCCCAGUGACUGAAAAGUUAAACGGCCGCGGUAUCUUGACCGUGCGAAGGUAGCAUAAUUAUUUGUCUCCUAAAUAGAGACUGGCAUGAAUGGCAAGACGGGGCUCUACUGUCUCCUUAUCUCCCACCUGAAAUUCACAUCUUUGUGAAGAGGCAAAGAUAAAAUCGCUAGACGAGAAGACCCUAUCGAGCUUAAACUAAAGCAGAAGCUUAAAUUCCCCUCACCAUUCAUCUAAUCAAAUUCACUUAAUGAAGAACUGAGAAAUCGUUUUUUGUGGGAGUUUUAGUUGGGGCAACUGCGGAGAAGAAAAUCCUCCGCUAUCAUCUAAGCUUUUAGGAAAACUACCCUAAAGCAAGAACAGCAAGUGAUCCACCCUGGUGAUCAAAGGAACAAGUUACCGUAGGGAUAACAGCGUAAUCUUUUUCGAGAGUUCAUAUUGACAAAAAGGUUUGCGACCUCGAUGUUGGAUCGGGACAUCCUAAUAGUGCAGAAGCUUUUAAGGGUUGGUCUGUUCGACCAUUAAAGUCCUACGUGAUCUGAGUUCAGACCGGA